UUUUGGCGGCGCAAUCGGAAGAGUUUGUAUCAAAAUCGGAUCUCGAAUCGAAUCGAUACAUAUGAGCAUGGAUUCUCCUUGAUAGCGAAUAGAUUAUUAUGGUCAAGUGUUUAACUCUCACCUAUUUCGUGUGCUGUUUGUGGAAUUCGGAUGUAUUCCAAAUGAAUUUUGUAGUUUGAUAGAAGUAUCUGGCUCAAAAUCUGUAGCUGAUUUUAAUGUCGUAUCUUCUAUUUUUUUUUUUUGCUUUUGCACAGUGAUCGGUCAAGGUAUAAACGCUGGAGAUGUGAUGCUGGGAUCCAUACCUGCAAUGGUCUCAUGAUGCCAUACUAAGAAGAACCUCACUGGAAUCAAAGGUUUAUCAAAGGCCAAAAUUGAAAAAAAUCUGUGAAGCUGUUGUUGAGAAAGUUGUGGUCUGGGAAAACUCAGUUAGCACAUACCCUUUGUGUCACUACGCAUCUACCAACAAACAUGAAAGGAGGAAAUUGCAAGCGUUUGUUUCAGGGCAUAGUCUAUAGCUUAAUGGAGAAAAAAGAAAGAAGCAGCUCAACAGUUUGAGAUAUAUUGGAGUCUUGUACCUGAAGAAUUCCCACAAAAGGGAUUUCUCGACGAUGUUGCAUUGGCUGCUCAAGCCAAAUCCCGAGAAUGACUUCAAAACACAUUCAAAGCUAAAUUUGCUCAGGGGAAUUUAACCAUGAAUAGAUAAUUUCGAAUAUCCAGGUAUGAAAUGUUAUCCUGUGACGGGGGUUAAAGACAAAAACCGCACUGGAGCAGGCGGAGUCAGUGGGUGCAUUGUGGAACCUAGAAGAAUGACACUUUGGGGGUUUGCAGUCAUGUUGUGAUUUCUCUCAAGUGCAGAAUCAGACAUGAAAGGUUUAACAUCUUUGUCAUGUGUAUAAAAUUUCAAAUUAGGUACUCUUUUUCAUAUGAACCCACUAGAUGUCUUGUUUAAAAAAAUAAGAACCCCAAUUAUAUACUACCAUUCCAGGGGAUAAUUUUAAUUAAGAUUCUAAAAGUUCUUAUUUUA
Non-coding RNA from Camelina sativa (false flax), 1024 nucleotides. Lineage: Eukaryota; Viridiplantae; Streptophyta; Magnoliopsida; Brassicales; Brassicaceae. The record is from RefSeq and is a predicted model, not a curated record.